Molecule: ribosomal RNA, 459 nt
Filed under: uncultured bacterium
Lineage: Bacteria
Description: partial 16S ribosomal RNA
Rfam family: Bacterial small subunit ribosomal RNA
Source: RNAcentral
CCUACGGGAGGCAGCAGUGAGGAAUAUUGGUCAAUGGGCGCGAGCCUGAACCAGCCAAGUCGCGUGAGGGAAGACGGUCCUAUGGAUUGUAAACCUCUUUUGUCGGGGAGCAAAAGACGCCACGCGUGGCGUUCCGAGAGUACCCGAAGAAAAAGCAUCGGCUAACUCCGUGCCAGCAGCCGCGGUAAUACGGAGGAUGCGAGCGUUAUCCGGAUGUAUUGGGGUUAAAGGGGGCGCAGGCGGAAGAUCAAGUCAGCGGUAAAAUUGAGAGGCUCAACCUCUUCGAGCCGUUGAAACUGGUUUUCUUGAGUGAGCGAGAAGUAUGCGGAAUGCGUGGUGUAGCGGUGAAAUGCAUAGAUAUCACGCAGAACUCCGAUUGCGAAGGCAGCAUACCGGCGCUCAACUGACGCUCAUGCACGAAAGUGUGGGUAUCGAACAGGAUUAGAUACCCUUGUAGUC